AGAUACCCCACUUAUGCCCAGGCCUCAAUAAGAUUAUACGUCCACCAGAAAACUACGAGCGAAAGCCUAAAACUCAAAAGACUUGACGGUACCCCAACCUACCUAGAGGAGCCUGUUACAUAAUCGAUAACCCACGAUAAACCUAACCACCCCUUGAAAUACUUCAGCCUAUAUACCGCCGUCAUUCAGCCUACCUUCUAAAAGAUAUCAAAGCAAGCAAAGCAGUGUAUUUUACUAAAAAGUCAGGUCAAGGUGUAGCUAAUGAGGUGGAGCUAAUGGGCUACAUUUUCUAAAAUAGAACACACGAACUAGAAUUUGAAACUAUCUAUAAAGGCGGAUUUAGCAGUAAGCCAAACCAGAAUAUUUGACUUAACACAGCUCUGGGGCACGUACACACCGCCCGUCACCCU
This 410-nucleotide ribosomal RNA is filed under the name Iphisa elegans elegans. Its description in RNAcentral is "partial 12S ribosomal RNA". The stretch from base 48 to 410 matches the Rfam family "Bacterial small subunit ribosomal RNA", at positions 875 to 1403 of the family's 1533-position model. Lineage: Eukaryota; Metazoa; Chordata; Lepidosauria; Squamata; Gymnophthalmidae. The record is from RNAcentral.